UGCCGAGUAGUGUAGCGGUAGCACAGAGGACUUUGGAUCCUUUGACCCAGGUUCGAACCCUGGCUCGGCAGCCA
RNAcentral lists this transfer RNA (74 nucleotides) under Dehalococcoidia bacterium. RNAcentral's name for it is "tRNA-Gln". It matches the Rfam family "tRNA". Rfam says of the family: Transfer RNA (tRNA) molecules are approximately 80 nucleotides in length. Their secondary structure includes four short double-helical elements and three loops (D, anti-codon, and T loops). Lineage: Bacteria; Bacillati; Chloroflexota; Dehalococcoidia. The record is from RNAcentral.